CCUACGGGAGGCAGCAGUGGGGAAUAUUGCACAAUGGGCGAAACCCUGAUCCAGCGACGCCGCGUGAGUGAAGAAGUAUCUCGGUACGUAAAGCUCUAUCAGCAGGGAAGAAAAUGAUGGUACCUGACUCAGAAGCCCCGGCUAACUACGUGCCAGCAGCCGCGGUAAUACGGAGGGGGCACGCGUUAUCCGGAUUUACGGGGUGUAAAGGGAGUGUAGAUGGCAGUACAAGUCGGGAGUGAAAUCCCUGGGCUUAACCCCGGAACUACUUUGGAGACUGGGAGGCUGGAGUGCAGGAGAGGUAAGCGGAAUUCCUAGUGUAGCGGUGAAAUGCGUAGAUAUUAGGAAGAACACCGAUGGUGAAGGCAGCAUACUGGAACGUAACUGACGCUGAGGCACGAAAGCGUGGGGAGCAAACAGGAUUAGAUACCCCAGUAGUC
This 440-nucleotide ribosomal RNA is filed under the name uncultured bacterium. RNAcentral describes it as "partial 16S ribosomal RNA". It matches the Rfam family "Bacterial small subunit ribosomal RNA", at positions 338 to 795 of the family's 1533-position model. The record is from RNAcentral.